UGGGGGAUAUUGCACAAUGGGCGAAAGCCUGAUGCAGCGACGCCGCGUGGGGGAUGAAGGCCUUCGGGUUGUAAACUUCUUUUGCUCUGAACAAGGCAUGCUAAUGGGUGUGUUGAGUAUAGGGGUUGAUUAGCGCCGGCUAACUACGUGCCAGCAGCCGCGGUAAUACGUAGGGCGCGAGCGUUGUCCGGAAUUAUUGGGCGUAAAGGGCUUGUAGGUGGCUGGUUGCGUCUGUCGUGAAAGCUCAUGGCUUAACUGUGGGUUUGCGGUGGGUACGGGCUGGCUUGAGUGCAGUAGGGGAGGCUGGAAUUCCUGGUGUAGCGGUGGAAUGCGCAGAUAUCAGGAGGAAUGCCGGUGGCGAAGGCGGGUCUCUGGGCUGUUACUGACACUGAGGAGCGAAAGCAUGGGGAGCGAACAGG
RNAcentral lists this ribosomal RNA (419 nucleotides) under bacterium. RNAcentral's name for it is "partial 16S ribosomal RNA". It matches the Rfam family "Bacterial small subunit ribosomal RNA", at positions 355 to 776 of the family's 1533-position model. The record is from RNAcentral.